Molecule: long non-coding RNA, 11105 nt
Organism: Gadus chalcogrammus (walleye pollock)
Lineage: Eukaryota; Metazoa; Chordata; Actinopteri; Gadiformes; Gadidae
Exons: 4
Source: RefSeq, a predicted model, not a curated record
GCCGCUCAGAGAGAGCCGCUCAGAGAGAGCCGCUCUGAGAGAGCCGCUCAGAGAGAGCCGCUCUGAGAGAGCCGCUCUGAGAGCCGCUCUGAGAGAGCCGCUCUGAGAGAGCCGCUCAGAGAGAGCCGCUCUGAGAGAGCCGCUCUCUGAGCGCUGGUGGGCUUGUUAUCUUGGUGUGCAGCUGUGCCAUUUAAACUUCAAACUGUAAAAAAGGACCUUCAAAGCUUUCUCUACAAUGUUGGGGAUUUUGUUACGUCUUCAAGCGGUGCUUGAUGUUACACGUUACAUAAGGUAUAGGUUACAUUAACAUGUUUCAUGGUUCGAUUAAACUAACAUGUAUCAUGUUGCAGUAGACUUCAUGGUUCGAUUAAACUAACAAGAUUCAUGGUUACAUUCAACUCUUAACAUGUAUUAAGAUAACAUUAAAUUAACAUGUAUCAUGGUAAUGCUGAAUGAUAGUGACUGCUGUCCUGACAUGUUGAUGUAUUGUUUAUCUCUAUAUAGAACGGUAUUAUAGAAGACGUCUGAAGGUAAGUGUUAUCACUGGUUUGAUACAGAACACAAUAACAUGUGUGACCCUAGCUGGCAGUGGUUUUAUUAGAUGAUGACCUUGUGAUGAACCCAAUGUUGAUAUUUUAUUUACAUUUUUAUUUUAUUGUAAAGGAAACAGAGGAACCAAACAGGAGGUUAAAUGGUAAGCUAAUAUUCCACAUGUUUCACUUUGUAAAUGAGUAACAGAUCAUUUAUUAAUAUCCAGUCAUUUGCAAGGGUUACUGACUCACACCAAGUCAAAUGAUAUCGCUGUGAUUCAAAACAUUUCAUCUAAUUGUACCAGAGAGUCAGAGCCUACCUAGCAGAGGGACCAGAGUGGCAGACCUACUGAACAACAUCAUCUAGAUCAGGGCUCCUCAACCUCUUUAUUACUGAGGCCCGGUAUGCAUAUUUAUAUGGGGAGUUAUUGUUAGGGUUGGUGUGAGGCCUCUCCUGUUGUCCUGUAGUAGUGAACUUCAAAAUAUGAAUGGCCACUACAUUUUUCCCCACUGAUACAGUAAGCGCCAUAAGUCCUUUCCUGAAACCUGUUCCACACACAUAACGACCCAACAUAACAACAUUGGCAUGAAGGCUUUAUCAUGUGUAGCUGGCUAGUGGGGUUUCCACGCUACCAAGUUGAAUAGUAAACCACACAAUACACAGAGCAGUACAAAGUCAGAUGAUUUAUUUACCAGGUGAAUAACAAUCACCGUGGUGGGAAAAGGGUAAUCCACAAUCCGUACACAGGAGUCGUUGCCAGAAGGGCCCUCAAACAAAGCGGUCGGUGCACAGUGGGGAUAGUCAGACGGUCCUCUCUCUCUCUCUCUCUCUCUCUCUCUCUCUCUCUCUCUCUCUCUCUCUCUCUCUCUCUCUCUCUCUCUCUCUCUCUCUCUCUCUCUCUCUCUCUCUCUCUCUCUCUCUCUCUCUCUCUCUCUCUCUGGUAGCCUGCUCUCCCCUUUAAGCCCAAGCACUCCUGCCUAAUGCUCCUCAGGCUUGCAUCGUUAAGGGAGGAAGUCCAUGUAAGGCUUGGGGGUGGAGCCAGCAUGCUGCCAGAUAUCUCCCUUCGAUCACCACUCCCCUCACUCCUCCCUGCCGCCUGCCACACAUCACAGAGGAGUGGGGUUGGGAUUGGUUGGGGUCACGGCCUCUUAUUUGAAUUUUGUGGAAGCAUUAUUAUUAUUUUUUUAUUUUAUUUUUUAUUCAGGUAGGCUUUAUUUCUAAAACUCAGCGGCCCGGUGGUUGAGAACCGCUGUUUGGUGGGAAUUUCUGGACCACGUCAAUCGUUUCUUUAUAAACUGAGUAGGAAUAAAGAGUCUACCGAACUUAUAACAAUUAGGGUAGUAUAUUUAAAUAAUAAACGUAUAAUAAUAUAAAACAAACAUACAACACAAUCCAAGGCCUAACAAACAAUCAUCCGAGGCCUCAGAUGGGAGUUCUCCCUGCGUCCCUCCAAGAGCUCCUCAAGGAGAGGUCGGAUCCAUUGAUAAAGCAAGGACUUCAGGUCUGAGGAGGCUGAGAACAGCUCUGACCCCAAUAUGACUAUAGUACUGGUUAACCAGAGGGUAAACUAUCAGUGCACCUCCUCAGGAUGUCCUGAAGGGGGACGUAGCCGUGCCUAAUCAGUUGGAGCCCUGGCUUCUCCACCUUCCCGAGGGGCUCAAGGAAACAGACCCAUACCAACAAAUGGCAGUUAGAGAAACGGAAUGUAAAAAUAUAAUUUUCCCAUUACACCUGAUCUAGAUAUUAGAUUAUAGAAUGGAGCUAUCCAUGUAUAUAAGACACUACUCUCAUAGCUGGGGCGAUGUGGCCAGCAUAACGUCAGCUCAGUGGCGUUUAUAACGUAGCUCACUGAGUCGUCAUGACAACACAGCAGGGACAAAGGGUAGAAAGACUUCUGUCCUUGUUUGACCACGAUAAUGGCAGCCGUCUCCCUACACGUAUUCAGUCUGUCAAGAUGUUCUUCUGUGUAGAGGCUAAUUCAGAGUGGAAACCAGGAACUGGUUCAACUGAUUCUACAAGAUUAGAAUAUAUGGAGCAGUUCAUAAUGGUAGGAUGGAUACGUUUCAUAACAUCAACCAUAGUCCUGGGAGGUAAGGGUUACAUUGAACUCUAACAUGUAUAAUGUUACAUUAAACUAACAUAUAUCAUGGUUACAUUAAACUAACAUGUAUCAUGGUUACAUUCAACUAACAUGUAUCAGGGUUAUGCUGAAUGAUAUUGACUGCUGUCCUGACAUGUUACUGUAUUGUUUAUCUCUAUAUAGUAUGGAUUGAUCGAAUUCUGAAGGUAAGUGUUGUUACUGGUUUGAUUAAGACCGCAAUAAUAUGUGUGACCCUAGCUGGCAGUGGUGGAGUUAUUAGAUGAUGACCUUGUAAUGAACCCAAUGUUGAUAUUUUAUUCACAUUUUAUUUUAUAGAAAGAGGAAAUGACCAAUACAGACUAUAGCCAUGGUAAGUUCUUAUUCCACAUGCUUCACUUUGUUAAUGAGUAACAGAUAAUUUAUUAAUAUCCAGUGAUUUGCAAGGGUUACUGACUCCCACCAAGUCAAAUGAUAUCGCUGUGGUUCAAAACAUUUAAUCUAAUUGUACCAGAGAGUCAGAGCCUACCUAGCAGAGGGACCAGAGUGGCAGACCUACUGAACAACAUCAUCUAGAUAUUAGAUUAUAGAAUGGAGCUAUCCAUGUAUAUAAGACACUACUCUCAUAGCUGGGGCGAUGUGGCCAGCAUAACGUCAGCUCAGUGGCGUUUAUAACGUAGCUCACUGAGUCGUCAUGACAACACAGAGCAGGGACAAAGGGUAGAAAGACUUCUGUCCUUGUUUGACCACGAUAAUGGCAGCCGUCUCCCUACACGUAUUCAGUCUGUCAAGAUGUUCUUCUGUGUAGAGGCUAAUUCAGAGUGGAAACCAGGAACUGGUUCAACUGAUUCUACAUGAUUAGAAUAUAUGGAGCAGUUCAUAAUGAUAGGAUGGAUUCGUUUAAUAAUAUCAAUCAUAGUCCUGGGAGGUAAGGGUUACAUUAAACUAACCUGUAUCAUAGCUAUAUUAAACUCUUAACAUGUAUCAUGUUACAUUAAAAUCGAUCAUGUAUCAUGGUUCCAUUAAACUAACAUGUAUCAUGGUUACAUUAAACUAACAUGUAUCAGGGUUAUGCUGAAUGAUAGUGACUGCUGUCCUGACAUGUUUCUGUAUUGUUUAUCUCUAUAUAGAAUUGGCUAAUCAAAUACGCAAGAUGGUAAGUGUUAUUACUGGUUUAAUACAAAACACAAAAAUAUGUGUGACCCUAGCUGGCAGUGGUGGAGUCAUUAGAUGAUGACCUUGUAACGAACCCAAUGUUGAUGUUUUAUUGAUAAUUUUAUUUGAUAGAAAAUGGUAAAAGAGGAACAGGAUGGGGAGUUUCACAGUAAGUAAUUUUUCUACACUUCUGUCCUUGUUUGACCACGAUAAUGGCAGCCGUCUCCCUACACGUAUUCAGUCUGUCAAGAUGAUCUUCUGUGUAGAGGCUAAUUCAGAGUGGAAACCAGGAACUGAUUCAACUGAUUAUACAUUUAAAUAUAUGGAGAAGUUCAUAAUGAUAGGAUGGAUACGUUUAAUAAUUAACCAUAGUCCUGGGAGGUAAGGGUUACAUUGGACUCUAACACGUAUCAUGUUUCAUUAAACUAAGGGGCCACUCACACUAGGGCCGCGGCCCCGUGCCCGAGCUCAUUUGCAUACUAAAGUCUAGAAUGUUUGGCUAGUGUGACCACGCCAUCCGUUUUCCAGCACGGAACAGCCCCUUGGCCACGGCACACUUGGGAGAGGUGUGCCGUGGCCAAAGUACAGAUGCUAAUGAGAUGACAUGUGCGGAUACGCAACGUGAGCUGGAUGACGUAGUCCUUGCGCGACCCUUCUUUCUUUAUAGGUCCAUGCCCUUCUUCCCCACAACAAUCAUUUAAAACAAUGGCGGCAAGCGGUUCACGAGUGGGUUUACGUUGGUGCGAUAGUGAAGUCGAGUGUUUACUUGAAAUUUGGGCCGACGACAGCAUUCAGUCGCAGCUGGACACCACGCUUGGUGAGGACGCAUUUAUCGUAUUACGACGUGAUGACGUAUGUAUGAAGGAGCAAUCGUGCCCAGGCCACGGCCUUUGGGAGCAGUGUGACCACGGGCCAGCGGGGGAGUGGGGAGGGGGGGAAUCGUGCUGAAUCUUCCUACAGCACGGAACAGGCAAACUUGCCUAGUGUGAGUGUGCCCGAACAUGUUUCGUGUUACAUUAACCUAACAUGUAUCAUGGUUAUAUUAGGGCGCACUCACACUUGGCCAUCUGUACCGUGCCCAAGUCCUUUUGACAGCUGUACCGUACUCAAGUACGAUUGCCCGCAACCCCCCUUCCCCAUGCUGUGCCGCUGGUCUGUGCUCACACUAGGCAAUCUCAACUGGUCCUGAGUACGGUUGCCCCUUGUACAUACGUCAUCACGUCGUAAUACGUCAUCACGUCGUAAUACGUCAUCAACAAGCGUCCGCUGCUUAGUAGAACAACGCAGAGAACAUAAUUGACACUUUACUAACUUUGUUGCUUAUUUGGAGCCGUUCUACUCAGAUACAGCCCUCUCUCACUGAGCCUUUUUACACAUCAAAUAUGCCAUUUUAUGCACUCCUUUUUCACGUCACGGCCCGCGCGUUUACGCUCCCCGAGGUAAAUUGCCUGCUUGAUCUAGAACCCCAAUUUACCCUCCCGGACCCUGCACACUUUGGUGGUUUAUCAGCUACACCACCAUGAACAAGCCCGAUCUCGUCUGAUCUCGAAAGCUAAGCAUGUUCGGGCCUGGUUAGUACUUGGAUGGGAGACCAUAUAAUAUAUAACAUAUUCUAUAUACAUCUAUAUAUAUCUAUGUGGGAGACCGCCUGGGAAUACCCAAUAGUAUCCGUCUGCGUCCUGCAAGCCGGAGACGUGACUUGUAGUAGGCGUAACUUGUAGUAGGAGGCGUGUGUAGUACUUUUCUAAAUCGCGGAAGUGAUCAGUAUGCAGCAGUGGUGCGCGGGUACAUAAAUGACUGCAACUCGGACCUCAAAUAUUAGGCCUUAUAUAAAAAUAAUGCACCCGACCCUCUCAUUCAAAAAUAUGCUCUUGAUUAGCUUAUUCAUAGCCUUACUGGCUAACUGAAAAUGACAUCCCUGAGUCAUAUGCAUUUAAGAAAAUAAUUUACAGAUUUACAAGACUUUUUUUACUGCGAAAAUAGGAAGAUCUCGCGUGGACCGCGAUUUAGAAAAGUACAAGACACGCCUCCUCCUACUACAAGUUGCGCCUCCGUCUUGCAGGACGCUGAUAGACCCUACUCGGAAUACCAUGUGCUGUAAGUGGUGUUGGGUGGUGGCCAAUAGGUGGCACUAUUCCCUCUGGCCUUAACAUCAAUGAUCAAUCCCGAUGUCCCAGUGCAGUGACGGGGACACUGUGCUGUGGAAGGUGCCGUCUUUCGGAGGAGACGUAAAACCGAGGUCCUGAAUCACUGAGUUCGAAAAAGAUCCCAGGGCACUGAUCGCAAAGAGUAGGGGUUUCCCCAGUCUGGCCCAACCAGGCUCAUUCAAUCUGGCCCCCUAAUCAUCCUCCUGUAUAAUUGGCUGCCGAAUUCUUUCCCUCACUCUGCACCUCAAGUUGGUGUGUGGUUGCUACACACUGGUGGUGGAGUGAGGUCCCCCCUUCACUGUAGGCGUCUUUGAGUGUCUAAAAAAGCGCUAUAUAAAUUCAAUGAAUUAUUAUUAUUAUUAUUUAUUGGGUUUCAUUCUGUUCUAAAUGCGACGGCGUCUUCACGAGGCUUUUGUCGGGAUAAAAAACAAGUGGUCAGAAAAACAAAGAAUAUUUGCUAGCGUUUUUUGCACUUGUAAAUAGUUAAAACGUUUGUAGCCUACACUCGGAUGGGAAAUUAUUCUUGCAUGCGGGUGUCUUCAUUCAUAAAAAAAUAAAAACAUUCGGGAGUAAACAAAUUAUUCUAAAGAGGUCUAGACUCCUUGCGCAGCCCCGCCUUCUCCUGUGAACCAAGAAAGCCCGCGUCCUGCCUGAGCACACCUCUCUGAAGUGUGUUCAGGCCACGGAAUUGAUCAUAAUGUAUCAUGGUUACAUUAAACUAACAUGUAUCAUGGUUAUGCUGAAUGAUAGUGACUUUAGUCCUGACAUGUUACUGUAUUGUUUAUCUCUAUAUAGAAUGGAUUGAUGCCCUUCUGAAGGUAAGUGUUAUUACUGGUUUGAUACAGAACACAAUAAUAUGUGUGUGACCCUAGCUGGCAGUGGUGUUAUUAGAUGAUCACCUUGUAAUGAACCCAAUGUUGAUAUUUUAUUCACAUUUUUAUUGUAUUCUAAAAGGAAAUAAAGGAACAGGAGAGGAAGAUAACUGGUGGAGCUGCUGGAGAAGGGACAUCUGGUCCCUCAUCCACACCUCUCCUCUCUACGGAGCUUCCUGCAGGUCUAGAGACAUCCAUCCCUCCAGCUCCCUCCAGUGAAACACAGCCUGCAGGUCUAGAGACAUCCAUCCCUCCAGCUCCCUCCAGUGAAACACAGCCUGCAGGUCUAGAGACAUCCAUCCCUCCAGCUCCCUCCAGUGAAACACAGCCUGCAGGUCUAGAGACAUCCAUCCCUCCAGCUCCCUCCAGUGAAACACAGCCUGCAGGUCUAGAGACAUCCAUCCCUCCAGCUCCCUCCAGUGAAACACAGCCUGCAGGUCUAGAGACAUCCAUCCCUCCAGCUCCCCCCUGUGAAACACAGCCUGCUGAAGAAUUGGAUAAACUAAGUCUUGAGAGGGUAAGUGUUACUUGUUUGUAAUUGUUACAAGUUAUCACUGGUUUGGUACAGACCACAAUAAUAUGUUUGACCCUAGCUGGCAGUGGUGGAGUUAUUAGAUGAGGACCUUGUAGUGAACCCAAUGUUGAUAUUUUAUUUACAUUUUUAUUUAAUUGCAAAAGGAAACACCGAAAAAGUGGUGGGAGGAAGCUGGUAAGUUCUUAUCCACAUUUUUCACUUUGUUAAUGAGUAACAGAUCAUCAUUUAUUAAUAUCCAGGGAUUUGCAAGGGUUACUGACACACACCAAGUCAAAUGAUAUCGCUGUGAUUCAAAACAUUUCUAAUUGUACCAGAGAGUCAGAGCCUACCUAGCAGAGGGACCAGAGUGGCAGACCUACUGAACACCAUCCUCUAUAUAUUAGAUUAUAGAAUGGAGCUAUCCAUGUAUAUAAGACACUACUCUCAUAGCUGGGGCGAUGUGGCCAGCAUAACGUCAGCUCAGUGGCGUUUAUAACGCAGCUCACUGAGUCGUCAUGACAACACAGAGCAGGGACAAAGGGUAGAAAGACUUCUGUCCUUGUUUGACCACGAUAAUGGCAGCCGUCUCUCCACACGUUUUCAGUCUGUCAAGAUGUUCUUCUGUGUAGAGGCUAAUUCAGAGUGGAAACCAGGAACUGGUUCAACUGAUUCUACAUGAUUAGAAUAUAUGGAGCAGUUCAUAAUAAUAGGAUGGAUACGUUUCAUAAUAUCAACCAUAGUCCUGGGAGGUAAGGGUUACAUUGAACUCUAACAUGUAUCAUGUUACAUUAAACUAACAUGUAUCAUGGUUACAUUAAACUAACAUGUAUAAUGGUUACAUUAAACUAACAUGCAUCAGGGUUUUGCUGAAUGAUAGUGACUGCUAUCUUGACAUGUUUCUGUAUUGUUUAUCUCUAUAUAGAAUUGGCAAAUCAAAUACGCAAGAUGGUAAGUGUUAUUAAUGGUUUAAUACAAAACACAAUUAUAUCUGUGACCCUAGCUGGCAGUGGUGGAGUCAUUAGAUGACCUUGUAACGAACCCAAUGUUGAUGUUUUAUUUGCAAUUUUAUUUGAUAGAAAAUGGUAAAAGAGGAACAGGAUGGGGAGUUUCACAGUAAGUUAUUUUUCUACACUUCUGUCCUUGUUUGACCACGAUAAUGGCAGCCGUCUCCCUACACGUAUUCAGUCUGUCAAGAUGUUCUUCUGUGUAGAGGCUAAUUCAGAGUGGAAACCAGGAACUGGUUCAACUGAUUAUACAUUUAAAUAUAUGGAGAAGUUCAUAAUGAUAGGAUGGAUACGUUUAAUAAUUAACCAUAGUCCUGGGAGGUAAGGGUUACAUUGGACUCUAACACGUAUCAUGUUUCAUUAAACUAAGGGGCCACUCACACUAGGGCCGCGGCCCCGUGCCCGAGCUCAUUUGCAUACUAAAGUCUAGAAUGUUUGGCUAGUGUGACCACGCCAUCCGUUUUCCAGCACGGAACAGCCCCUUGGCCACAGCACAUUUGGGAGAGGUGUGCCGUGGCCAAAGUACAGAUGCUAAUGAGAUGACAUGCGCGGAUACGCAACGUGAGCUGGAUGACGUAGUCCUUGCGCGACCCUUCUUUCUUUAUAGGUCCAUGCCCUUCUUCCCCACAACAAUCAUUUUAAACAAUGGCGAAGUGUUUACUUGAAAUUUGGGCCGACGACAGCAUUCAGUCGCAGCUGGACACCACGCUUUGUGAUGACGUAUUUAUCGUAUUACGACGUGAUGACGCAUGUAUGAAGGAGCAAUCGUGCCCAGGCCACGGCCUUUGGGAGCAGUGUGACCACGGGCCAGCGGGUGAGUGGGGAGGGGGGGAAUCGUGCUGAAUCUUCCUGCAGCACGGAACAGGCAAACUUGCCUAUACUACUACUACUACUAGUGUGAGUGUGCCCGAACAUGUUUCGUGUUACAUUAACCUAACAUGUAACAUGGUUAUAUUAGGGCGCACUCACACUCUGUACCGUGCCCAAGUCCUUUUGACACCUGUACCGUACUCAACUACGAUUGCCCGCCACCCCCCCCCCCCUGCUGUGCCGCUGGUCUGUUCUCACACUAGGCAAUCUCAACUGGUCCUGAGUACGGUUGCCCCUUGUACAUACUUCAUCAACAAGUGUCCGCUGCUUAGUAGAACAACGCAGAGAACAUAAUUGACACUUUACUAACUUUGUUGCUUAUUUGGAGCCGUUCUCCUCAGAUACAGCCCUCUCUCACUGAGCGUUUUUACACUGCCAAAUAUGCCAUUUUCUGCACUCCUUUUUCGCGGCACGGCCCGUGCGUUUACACUCCCCGAGGUAAAUUGCCUGCUUGAUCUAGAACCCCAAUUUACCCUCCCGGACCCUGCACACGUUGGUUUUUUAUCAGCAACACCACCAUGAACAAGCCCGAUCUUGUCUGAUCUCGAAAGCUAAGCAUGUUCGGGCCUGGUUAGUACUUGGAUGGGAGACCAUAUAAUAUAUAACAUAUUCGAUAUACAUCUAUAUAUAUCUAUGUGGGAGACCGCCUGGGAAUACCCAAUAGUAUCCGUCUGCGUCCUGCAAGCCGGAGACGUGACUUGUAGUAGGCGUAACUUGUAGUAGGAGGCGUGUGUAGUACUUUUCUAAAUCGCGGAAGUGAUCAGUAUGCAGCAGUGGUGCGCGGGUACAUAAAUGACUGCAACUCGGACCUCAAAUAUUAGGCCUUAGAUAAAAAUAAUGCACCCGACCCUCUCAUUCAAAAAUAUGCUCUUGAUUAGCUUAUUCAUAGCCUUACUGGCUUACUGAAACUGACAUCCCUGAGUCAUAUGCAUUUAAGAAAAUAAUUUACAGAUUUACAAGACUUUUUUUACUGCGAAAAUAGGAAGAUCUCGCGUGGACCGCGAUUUAGAAAAGUACAAGACACGCCUCCUCCUACUACAAGUUGCGCCUCCGUCUUGCAGGACGCUGAUAGACCCUACUCGGAAUACCAUGUGCUGUAAGUGGUGUUGGGUGGUGGCCAAUAGGUGGCACUAUUCCCUCUGGCCUUAACAUCAAUGAUCAAUCCCGAUGUCCCAGUGCAGUGACGGGGACACUGUGCUGUGGAAGGUGCCGUCUUUCGGAGGAGACGUAAAACCGAGGUCCUGAAUCACUGAGUUCGAAAAAGAUCCCAGGGCACUGAUCGCAAAGAGCAGGGGUUUCCCCAGUCUGACCCAACCAGGCUCAUUCAAUCUGGCCCCCUAAUCAUCCUCCUGUAUAAUUGGCUGCCGAAUUCUUUCCCUCACUCUCCACCUCAAGUUGGUGUGUGGUUGCUACACACUGGUGGUGGAGUGAGAUCCCCCCUUCACUGUAGGCGUCUUUGAGUGUCUAAAAAAGCGCUAUAUAAAUUCAAUGAAUUAUUAUUAUUAUUAUUUAUUGGGUUUCAUUCUGUUCUAAAUGCGACGGCGUCUUCACGAGGCUUUUGUCGGGAUAAAAAACAAGUGGUCAGAAAAAUAAAGAAUAUUUGCUAGCGUUUUUUGCACUUGUAAAUAGUUAAAACGUUUGUAGCCUACACUCGGAUGGGAAAUUAUUCUUGCAUGCGGGUGUCUUCAUUCAUAAAAAAAUAAAAACAUUCGGGAGUAAACAAAUUAUUCUAAAGAGGUCUAGACUCCGUGCGCAGCCCCGCCUUCUCCUGUGAACCAAGAAAGCCCGCGUCCUGCCUGAGCACACCUCUCCGAAGUGUGCUCAGGCCACGGAAUUGAUCAUAAUGUAUCAUGGUUACAUUAAACUAACAUGUAUCAUGGUUAUGCUGAAUGAUAGUGACUGCAGUCCUGACAUGUUACUGUAUUGUUUAUCUCU